GUACUGAUGAGGAGUCCCAUAAUAGAAGGAAACGGCUGUCCAGUGC
Schistosoma rodhaini is the source of this 46-nucleotide non-coding RNA. The record is from Rfam. NCBI's taxonomy places the organism in Eukaryota, Metazoa, Platyhelminthes, Trematoda, Strigeidida, Schistosomatidae.